This is a long non-coding RNA of Parus major (Great Tit), 6139 nucleotides long. RefSeq lists it as uncharacterized. Lineage: Eukaryota; Metazoa; Chordata; Aves; Passeriformes; Paridae. The record is from RefSeq and is a predicted model, not a curated record. The transcript has 5 exons.
UCUUGUGCAGUGCGUGGAGGGGCUUGCAUAGAAUCAUAGAAUAAUUUGGGUCAGAAGGGACUUCUAAAGGUCAUUAUUUAAUGUAGGCUGGAUCUGAGCUUUACAGCUCAAUAGCAGGUUCUUAUUUUUAUUCCUAUAGCCUUAGUAGUCUAUAAAUACCAUGCCUAUUUAUUUUGACCAUUUGGGCUUUAAAAGCCUGUUGGAAACAUUCCUUGCCAAUUUGCUGUGGAAAUAGGAAGAAGGAAGGGAAGCUGAUGGAUCUACAUACAACACAUGCUGGAAGCUGGCAAAUGUUGUCCCAGUUUUCAAGAAGAGCAAGAGGAAUGACCCUAAUAACAAACUCAGGAGGAGCUGUUGAUUCCCUCAAAACCAGAGAGAUUUUGAUGAAAUAGAGGGCUGGAAAAACACCAAUCAUAUGAAGUUCAACAACAGCAAGUGAUGGGUUCUGCACAUGGGAUGGGAGAACCCUGGAUGUAUGGACAGCCUGGGACCAGUGCUCCAGAAAGGGACCUAUGGGUCCUGAUUGAUGGAAAGUUGAAUGUGAGUCAGCAGUGCCCUGGCAGCCCUAGGAAGGUCAUCCCUGUCCUGGGGCCAUCAGGCACCACAAUUCAAGAAGGAUAUUAAGCUGUUAGAGAGCAUUCAAAGGAUGGUGAAGCAUCUGUAGGGGAAGUAUUAACUAGGACUAGUUGAAGUCACUUGGCUUAUUCAGCUUGGAGAAGAGGAGACUGAGGAUAGUCCUCAUCACAAACUACAGCUUUCUCAAAAGGGGAAAUGGAGGUACAGCACCAGUGUAUUUCUUCUGGCGACCAGUUACAGCAUUCAAGGGAAUUACAUGAGGCCAACUCAGGAUAUUCUAUGAUUCUGUGAAUCUAAGCUUUGCUGGCUCCUGUACUCUCAGAAAGGAAGAUUAUUUGGGAUGCAGCAGGGCUUCUUCAUGAAAGUCACUAAUGCCUUUUCUUCUUCCUUGUCUCUGGCUGGGACCACCCUCUACUGGUGAGUGUGACUCGGGUGUUGUGUCCUCAGGGAGGGAAGGAGGAGCCCUUCCCACCAUAUUUCCCUACGUGCAAAGGAUGGACUCAGAGUUUUGGAUCUCUGGGAUCAGCAGAGGGAGUGCAAGAGCAAGGAAAAGAGAAAUGCACACGCUGAAUGUGCCGGGGUUUGAUCUGAGGUGCUCCAUGAGCCUGGCUCAGGGAUGAAUGAGCCCUCUGGAAAAGAGAUCCUUCUGCUGAGUGAGUCUUUCCUCAUUUUCGCACAAAAAAGGGACAUCAGACAUUCUCAGUAAUCUUUCUUCUCCUGGUGGAUAUGAGAAAAUCUCCUGAUUACAUUACAGCAGCAGCACAAAAAAGCAAAUCAAAGCUGUGGUGCCUGGAGGUUUGGUUAACCACACUGGGGGCAUCCACCUGAGCCAGGAAGGCAGGAGAUGUGGAGGAGCCUUGUGACAUUCCAGUGCCCAGGUGACCAGCCAUGGCCCAUCCCUGACAUCCACAAGCCACGUGAGUUGUUACUCCCUCUCUGAGGGCCAGACCUGUUUUACAGCUCUCACAUUUCCUACCAGCACAGGGUGGUGAAGGUUAUCAACGAUGAUUGUUUGAUGUGUUUAAUUAGCCUGCAGUUAAUUAUAUAAUAUUUCUUUAUAAACUCAUGAAAGAGAGCUGCCAGCAUGGCUGAUGCACUUAUUCACAUGGCCUGCCUGGGAGAUAGCCAAGUUGGCCUUGUUCAAGUGUUUUAGGCUUGGCUCAGGAACAGUCCACGCCAGCUGGAGUUACAAAGACCUGUUCCCAGGUGUUCUCUUUUGUUCUAUUUAAUCUGUUUUAUUCUAUUUAGCCUUUUAUUUGUCCUUGAUGUUUUCUCCAGGAAGGUUAGUGGGGAGGAAAGAAGAAGUGAGUUUGACUUGUCAUGAAUUACUUUUCUUCUGCCUCCUCUUCUAAGACCAUGGAGUUUUCCUUAGGACCCUUUCCUGGCUGUCCCAUGUGGGGAAGCCCAGGGUGAUGGUGCUGCAGGGCUCCUGGAGAGGUCAGUGAUACCCCACAUGUGCCUGGGCCAGUGCUGGGCUGAGAGCAGCUGGGCCUGCAGCUCUCCCAGCCCAGCCACUUGUCCCAGCCAGCCCCACUGUCCCACUGCCCACCACAGCCAGGUGAAACUGUGCUCCAAAAAGGAGUCAGGCUGCUCCAAAAGAGGAUUGAUUUACCAGCAGAUCAGUGGCUGUUUGAGGCCGCACCUCAAGCCUCCAGCCUUCUCUGUCCCUACAUCCAUGCCCUCAUCUGAUGCCUCUUGUCCAACCCACAGUGGUGUUUUCCUCCCCAGACUGGUGGCAGGGUCUUGAGAUGCCUCCAGAAGGAACUAGGUGUUCCCAAAUGUAACUGAGUGUCAAGGCACAUCCUACAGCUCCUCCUUCCCAAUCCAGCAUGUGUCCCACCCUGACUUAACUCCAAACCUGAGACUUCCACCUUCCUACAUCCUCUCUCACUUUUUAUUACAGACAAGUCUGGUGCGAUGGAAAAUGCAACAUAAACCAAAGUACAACGGUACAGGGCUUGCAGAAACUCCACAGUGAAGUGCCCCCUUUCUUUUCAGGGGUCAGAGCUGAGAAAUGGUCAUGAGCUCUUUUUUUUCCUCAGAAGGGGAUGAAUCCACAGCUUGUCCACCCUGGACAGCAGCAGGGCUGGGCUGGGCUCAGAGCAGUUUGUGUAGAGAGAACAUUGUUCUCCAACACCCCUGGGGCUGGUGGUUCCCAAAAACAAGACAGACCAGUGAUGGUUUAUGGUCUCCCCAAAGUGCCAGUGACAGAGAGGGGUUCCAAGGCCCCAGGGAAAGCUUUGCAAACCCAGCAGGGAUGCUCUUGGCACAGCAAAGUGCUUUGACACCACAGCCCAGUUUUUUUUUUUCCUUGUUUUCCUAAAGAAGGGAGAUUUAUGUGAGUAAUCCAGCCAGUUUAAACCCAAAUGACGCUGAGUAGAAGAGCCCUCGAGGAGAUUUUAUUCCCUCCAGAUUUGCAGGGGAAAAACUACCCCUGCCCUUGGGACUGUGGCACUGAGGGGCCCCUCCCUGUGCUUGGCAGGAUGCAGGACAGAGAAUCACUGGUGCAAAAAUGGCCUGAGUUGUGCCUCUCCACCCUGAAGGAUGUGCCUGAGGGUCCUGGGGCCAUCCAGAGGGACCUGGACAAGCUUGGAAAGUGGGCCAUGGGAAUCUCAUGAGGUUCAACAAAGCCAGGUGCUGCACCUGGGUGGGGGCAAUGCCUGUUAUCAAUCCAGGUACAAGACAGACAUGAACCUGUAGAAAUGGGUCUAGAGAAGGGCCAUGAAAAAGAUCAGAGGGCUCCUCUAGCAGCUCUGCUCUGGAGGCAGCCUAGGACAGCUGGGGCUGUCCAGCCUGGAGAUGAGAAGGCUCCAGGAAGACCUUUCCAGUGCCUAAAAAGGGCAUAUAGGAAAGAUGAGAACAGACUUUUUAGCAGGGUCUGUAGUGAUGGUUCAAGGGGCAAUGGCUUUAAAUUGAAAGAUGGUCAAUUUAGAUUCAAUUUUAGUAAGGAGUUGUUUUUUUUUUACAGUGAGGGUGGUAAAACACCAGCACCCAGCUGCCCAGAGAAUUGGUGGAUGCCUCAUUCUUGGAAACAUUCAAGACCAGGUUGGAUUGGGCUCUGAUCAAUGUGGUUUAGUGGAGUCUGGACUAGAUUACUUUUUAAGGUCCCUUCCAACCCAAACCAUUUUAUGAUUCAAUGAUCCAUGGAAGCUACUCUACCACCUGCCUCUACCCAGCCUCCAUGCAGCUAUUCUCAUCCAUGCCACACUGGCUUUUAAAGCCCCUCCUGGUCUCCUGUGCCAGGCUGGAUCAAGGCUUGUGGAGGGCUGGAUGCUGGGCACCGCCUCUCUUUGCUGUCCACAGAACACUGACUUCCAUAAAUCCCAUUUGCAGCUAUUUUUCAGGAGGGGACAGUGACACUGGAGUAAACCACAAGACCAGGUGGUUUUUCACCCAAGCUGUCUCUCAAACCAAAUUGGUGUUCCAGGCCAGUUGUCACUGCAAGUCUGUUCUGGACAGUGUGUCUGAACCUCUCCAUGGUUUAACAGAGGAGACCUCAUGGCAUCUCCUUUCACCUUCAGCAGGACAGGGAGGCCGGGACAACCUCUGCUUCCCAACAGGAGGAUGCAGAGGAAAUGCUCCAUUCGUUAGGGCUCAUUCCCCAUCCAGGGCCGAUGGCUUACAGCCAUCAGUAGAUGAUGGGACCAGGCAAGCCUGGCCAUGUGCAAUGGGAGGAGGAGAACUGAAAGGGUAGGACGCUUGGAUUCAUCGCUCUGGGUUGUCAUCUCCCCCCUGGAUUUAUCACCCAUGGCUAAUGAGAGGCAGCCAGCGCUGUGUGAUGUGGACGAGCCCCGGCUCGGCGCUCGCAGGCAGGGAGGGCAGGGUUUGCCACGAUCUGGCAAAGGGCUCUCGGAUGCUCCAGCUCAGCUCGUGUCCUCAGGAGUUCUCGGGCUGAGCCGGGGGUGGUGGGGAAAUGUGAAGGGCAGCAAAAGCGAGACAGGCUCUGCUGGGGCAAGCACAGCCCUGAGCCAAGCUUUCCUUCUGGCAGCUGGCACCAGGCAUUCAGGGGAUUAUAUUUUCUUUCUUUCUUUCUUUCUUUCCUCCUUUUAUUUAUCUAUCUAUCUAUCUAUCUGUCUAUCUAUCUAUCUAUCUAUCUAUCUAUCUAUCUAUCUAUCUAUCUAUCUAUUUUCCUCCUCAAGUGUCUUGUAUGGGCCCUUCAGGGGAGAAGAUUAUUUAAAUCUGACGUGUCCCCUCUGGUCCUUCUAAUGUUGCCAACCCCACUGCGGAUGCUUUUCCACCUUCGCUCAAUGUUCCAUCUGCCAGGAGCUGCGGAUCCCACCCUCCACUGAGCCAACCCCCAGGCCCUUCUUGGCUGGAGGAAGAGGAAGCCGCCCACACCACCCCGAGAAUCCCCACAUUGUCUUCCUCACUCCUGGGAAGCCCCGGUGACAGAGCCAGGGCUGCGACUGAGCCUCAGGAGGGAGGGGAGGAAUCUCGGACAGGAUGCGAGGAGCGGCAAGGACCCGCAGCACGGGUUUGGUUUGGCAGCCCCGUUCAGACAAUAAAAGGUCAGGCUGCAGAGAAGCUUGUUUUGUUGUUGGUUUUUAUUUUAUUUUGUUUUAUUUCCCUGGCUCUUAUUCAAGGCUGUGUCCUUAAGGACGGGGAUUCUCUACGCUGGUGGCAGGCUGAGAGCCCGGGUGGGCGGCUGGGUCUUUGUCUGGCGGGGCUUUUAGUGUGCAAAUGAUUUUGCUGGAGCACAGGCUGCGAGAGGAGGAGGCUGGGCUGGGUGUGAGCUCAGGGCAAGGAGAUGAAACUCUGCAGCAGGAUUUGGUUUGGUUCAAUAUCUGAAGUAUCUUCUUUUUCACAGUGAAGUUUUUUAGAGGUUUCCAGGGGACCCAGAAGAUUAGGAAUUGAAGCACAUGCUGGGGAGGAAGCUGCAUAUGUGGAAUAAAAUGAGGGCAAACAGCCCCAGGCAGAGCCUGAGAUGAGGCAACAGGAGGGUCUGUAUGGAAAUGGUCACAAAGGGUUUGACAGUGUGCUGCAGUGGUCUCAGCAGAUCAGCUGCUUCACCUUUGAUUUUGGGUAGGAUUUGACGUAUUUGAAAUGGUGCUGCUGCUUCCUAAUCUUUUUGGGGCAGGGACAGUCUCCUAAAGCUGUGCAUCCUAAAGCUGUGCACCUUCCGCUGAAUCACUGUCCCUGGAAGUGUUCAAAAGACACAUGGGGACAUGGUUUAGUGGUGAACAAAAUGGUGCUGGGUUAAUGAUCUUAGAGGUUUUUUCCAACCUUAAUAAUUCUGUGAUUCUGUAAUCACACCCAGCCUGAUCCACAGCCCAAGGGUCAAAGACCAGAGCACUCUGCUAUCGUAUACAAAGGGGUUUGCAGGGUCACUGUGGCUGUGCCCCUCCUCCAGCUCAGGGAGGUGAGUUCAGGUCUCACCUGGUGUAUCCUGCCAGGCUCCCCACAGCCAUCUCCUCUCCCUGGCCACUGUGAAAAGAGACACAAUGAACCCUCAUAAGCUUAGAGGCUGCCAUAAUAUCUGUCUUCUAUCUGAGUUUCAUACAAACUUCAGGACAAAGGAAACCGGUUUUUGGAUGUAGAACAGCUGCCUCAGGCUCAACCCAAG